Molecule: unclassified non-coding RNA, 105 nt
Organism: Dipodomys ordii (Ord's kangaroo rat)
Lineage: Eukaryota; Metazoa; Chordata; Mammalia; Rodentia; Heteromyidae
Product: predicted gene, 28006
Source: Ensembl
CCAGCAUCCCCUUUUUUUUCCAGACAAAGGGGAUGAGGCCUGGUCUUGUGGAGACUGGACUUAGCUUCGCCGGGCUGACCGCUCUGGCCCAGGGUGGUAUGUAAU